UACGUAGGGUGCGAGCGUUGUCCGGAAUUAUUGGGCGUAAAGGGCUCGUAGGCGGUUUGUCGCGUCGGGAGUGAAAACACCGGGCUUAACUCGGUGCUUGCUUCCGAUACGGGCAGACUAGAGGUAUGCAGGGGAGAACGGAAUUCCUGGUGUAGCGGUGGAAUGCGUAGAGAUCCGGAAGAACGCCGGAGGCGAAGGCGGCUUGCUGGACCUGGUCUGACGCUGAGGCGCGAAAGCGUGGGGAGCGAACAGG
Molecule: ribosomal RNA, 253 nt
Filed under: uncultured bacterium
Lineage: Bacteria
Description: partial 16S ribosomal RNA
Rfam family: Bacterial small subunit ribosomal RNA
Source: RNAcentral